GAUGAACGCUGGCGGCGUGCUUAACACAUGCAAGUCGAACGGAAAGGCCUCAGCUUGCUGGGGUACUCGAGUGGCGAACGGGUGAGUAACACGUGGGUGAUCUGCCCUGCACUUUGGGAUAAGCCCGGGAAACUGGGUCUAAUACCGAAUAUGACCACUUCUUGGAUGUUGUGGUGGAAAGCUUUUGCGGUGUGGGAUGAGCCUGCGGCCUAUCAGCUUGUUGGUGGGGUAAUGGCCUACCAAGGCGGCGACGGGUAUCCGGCCUGAGAGGGUGUACGGACACAUUGGGACGGAGAUUCGGCCCAGACGCCUACGGGAGGCAGCAGUGGGGAAUAUUGCACAAUGGGCGCAAGCCUGAUGCAGCGACGCCGCGUGGGGGAUGAAGGCCUUCGGGUUGUAAACUCCUUUCGCUAUCGACGAAGCCACUUGUGGUGACGGUAGGUAGAUAAGAAGCACCGGCUAACUACGUGCCAGCAGCCGCCGUAA
This 486-nucleotide ribosomal RNA is filed under the name uncultured bacterium. RNAcentral describes it as "partial 16S ribosomal RNA". It matches the Rfam family "Bacterial small subunit ribosomal RNA", at positions 28 to 523 of the family's 1533-position model. The record is from RNAcentral.